This 447-nucleotide ribosomal RNA is filed under the name uncultured bacterium. RNAcentral describes it as "partial 16S ribosomal RNA". It matches the Rfam family "Bacterial small subunit ribosomal RNA", at positions 29 to 523 of the family's 1533-position model. The record is from RNAcentral.
AGCGAACGCUGGCGGCAGGCUUAACACAUGCAAGUCGAACGCCCCGCAAGGGGAGUGGCAGACGGGUGAGUAACACGUGGGAACGUACCCUUUGGUUCGGAAUAACUUGGGGAAACUAAAGCUAAUACCGGAUAAGCCCUUAUGGGGAAAGGUUUACUGCCGAAGGAUCGGCCCGCGUCUGAUUAGCUAGUUGGUGAGGUAAUGGCUCACCAAGGCGACGAUCAGUAGCUGGUCUGAGAGGAUGAUCAGCCACACUGGGACUGAGACACGGCCCAGACUCCUACGGGAGGCAGCAGUGGGGAAUAUUGGACAAUGGGGGAAACCCUGAUCCAGCCAUGCCGCGUGAGUGAUGAAGGCCUUAGGGUUGUAAAGCUCUUUUACCCGGGACGAUAAUGACUGUACCGGGAGAAUAAGCCCCGGCUAACUUCGUGCCAGCCGCCGCCGUAA